GCCCGUGGGGCCGGGUGCUCCGCGGGCCCCGCCGCGGCGGGGCUCCCCACUGGGCACACACGGUCAGCUCACAUCACCGCCAUCACACGUCGCCACAGUCACCCCACACAGCAGGGGGCACCCUUCGGGCCCUCCUUGCCCAUCGGCAUGUGCCCCAGCAUGGGCAUUCAGCUCAGUCAGGUGGGGGUCACACGGCUUCCCCUCAGGCGCACGCAUCCCUCAGCUGGUCUGCAGCAGGCAUGCACCCCAGCCNACUCACUUGGCACACUGCAGCACCCGGUCCCAGCACUCCUCACGGGGGUCAGGCCAGCGCAGUGGGGGCACAUCAUUGGCUACCACAUGGGGC
RNAcentral lists this ribosomal RNA (346 nucleotides) under uncultured bacterium. Its description in RNAcentral is "partial 16S ribosomal RNA". The record is from RNAcentral.